ACUCCUACGGGAGGCAGCAGUGGGGAAGUAUUGCACAAUGGGCGCAAGCCUGAUGCAGCCAUGCCGCGUGUAUGAAGAAGGCCUUCGGGUUGUAAAGUACUUUCAGCAGUGAGGAAGGCGGGUACGUUAAUAGCGUGCUCGUUUGACGUUAGCUGCAGAAGAAGCACCGGCUAACUCCGUGCCAGCAGCCGCGGUAAUACGGAGGGUGCGAGCGUUAAUCGGAAUUACUGGGCGUAAAGCGCAUGCAGGUGGUUUGUUAAGUCAGAUGUGAAAG
RNAcentral lists this ribosomal RNA (274 nucleotides) under uncultured bacterium. RNAcentral's name for it is "partial 16S ribosomal RNA". It matches the Rfam family "Bacterial small subunit ribosomal RNA", at positions 335 to 600 of the family's 1533-position model. The record is from RNAcentral.